Mauremys reevesii (Reeves's turtle) is the source of this 976-nucleotide long non-coding RNA. RefSeq lists it as uncharacterized. The record is from RefSeq and is a predicted model, not a curated record. Lineage: Eukaryota; Metazoa; Chordata; Testudines; Geoemydidae. The transcript is spliced from 4 exons.
GAGACAGGCAGCUGCAGCCCGUAAGAGGCCAGUUUGCAACUAGCUGCUGUUUGCUGCAUCUCUUGCUCUUACAGCUGCUUUGCUGGAACCGAGAGGAUCUGGAUGUGUUAUUUACCGUAUUGCUUCAAAGGAUUCUCAACAAGGUGCCUGAUCUCUACAACAGUAGCUGCAAAUCACACCAUAGUUAAUGGGCCUUAUCCCAGAAGGUGACUCCUGAAAGAUGCUCUGGGCCCUCGGCUCCCACUGGAAUCAGCAGGACUGCACCCUCCAGGCUUGGAGUAGGUGGUGCAUACAACUGUUCCCAGGCAAGGCUGGUGGACAGUGUGUUGAACAUGAUCCGCAGCUCAUUGAAGUUAAUAGGAAGACUCCCAUUAAUGUCCGUGGGUUUUGCAUCAGGUGCUGUCAGGAGCUCUCUUGAUAUAAACCAGGCUGCACUGUCAUGUACGGUCAGGCUUCAGGAUGUCUCUGCAGAGCAGGGGUGCAGCACUGGCUGAGGGAGCGUGAGCUUCCCCACAUUACACCAGCCCCGGGAGCCUCACUCCUCACUGUGGCCCUCCUCAAAGGACCAGAGCAGAGGGAAUCCAGCACCAGGCUCGAAGGAAGCAGCAUGCAAUGAUACCGGGAGCAGGUCCCCUCUGGGGCCUUGCCCACACCUAUCAAGGAGCCUACUAAGGUCCACAUCAUCUGGAUUUUCAGUUUUGUUUCAGGUCCACUUCUAGAUGAAAAAAGAAAUUGCCCCCUUCUCCCGCUGUCAACCCCAAUUCUAACCAUACAUCUCUAAGGUGCAAAAAUGUUCUGCUCACUUUUUCCUCAUUAUUAUUCCAGAGUCGUGCAUGUCCUCAUUCCUGAGUUCUGGCCCAGAACAAACACCUAAGUGCCAAAAUCUUCCAAGACAGUCUGUUCCCAACUUUGUUUAAUAGAUGCAAGAGGCUUGGAUAAUACACGUAAUCCCCCCUUGCAACAGAAUGCACCCCUG